CCUACGGGGGGCUGCAGUGGUGAAUAUUGGACAAUGGGCGAAAGCCUGAUCCAGCCAUGCCGCGUGUGUGAAGAAGGCCUUCGGGUUGUAAAGCACUUUCAGUGGGGAAGAAAGCCUUGGGGCUAAUACCCUCGAGGAAGGACAUCACCCACAGAAGAAGCACCGGCUAACUCCGUGCCAGCAGCCGCGGUAAUACGGAGGGUGCGAGCGUUAAUCGGAAUUACUGGGCGUAAAGCGCGCGUAGGCGGUCUGAUAAGCCGGUUGUGAAAGCCCCGGGCUCAACCUGGGAACGGCAUCCGGAACUGUCAGGCUAGAGUGCAGGAGAGGAAGGUAGAAUUCCCGGUGUAGCGGUGAAAUGCGUAGAGAUCGGGAGGAAUACCAGUGGCGAAGGCGGCCUUCUGGACUGACACUGACGCUGAGGUGCGAAAGCGUGGGUAGCAAACAGGAUUAGAUACCCUAGUAGUC
This 465-nucleotide ribosomal RNA is filed under the name Vreelandella stevensii. RNAcentral's name for it is "partial 16S ribosomal RNA". It matches the Rfam family "Bacterial small subunit ribosomal RNA", at positions 338 to 795 of the family's 1533-position model. Lineage: Bacteria; Pseudomonadati; Pseudomonadota; Gammaproteobacteria; Oceanospirillales; Halomonadaceae. The record is from RNAcentral.